Molecule: long non-coding RNA, 1618 nt
Organism: Poecilia latipinna (sailfin molly)
Lineage: Eukaryota; Metazoa; Chordata; Actinopteri; Cyprinodontiformes; Poeciliidae
Exons: 2
Source: RefSeq, a predicted model, not a curated record
CAUUGUGCACACUUACCGUAGAUGGACUAGUCCAGGGGUACCCAAAGUCGGUCCUCGAGGGCCGGCAUCCUGCACCUUUUAGGUCUCUCCCUGGUAGUAGUAACAACCUGUUCAGCUUUUCAAUCUUCCUCUUAGGCCGUCUAACGAGCCAUGAUUUGAUCCAGGUGCGUUAAACCAGGGAGAGAACUAAAACAUGCAAGAUGCCAGCCCUCCAGGACCGACUUUGGGCACCCCUGGACUAGACUCUAUUCCUUAAGAAGGUGGGGAGGGAGGGCUGUCUGUCUGUCUGUCUGUCUGUAGAGGUGUGCUCUGUCCCAUCAUGCAGAGUCCCUACAGCUGAUUGGACAAAGGAGGAUGCGCCAUACUAGUAGCCAACCUGACCAUCCUCUUGAUGCACAGUAACUCAGUAAGAAUGCCUUCAGUCAGAGGCUCUUUCAGAUCUGCUGCAACACAGGCUACUACAGAUCUUUCCUGCCAGCAGCUUUAGCAGUUUCUCAUAAUCUCUUAUUCUUACAGCAAAUGGUUUGGAAUUUCCCCCCAAGAAUAGUAAAGUAUCAUUGAAUUAAAUGAAUUGUAUACAGAUCAGUUCAAAUUCAAUUCAAAAACACUUUAUCGAUCCCAAAGGGACAUUAAAUAAAAAUUUGAUUAAAUAAACUAAGUUAAAAAAUGAAGAACCUGUAAAUAUUGCUCAUGUCCUCUUCUUUACAAACACAUACCAGUUGUAUGUGUAUUGGUUUUACAUUUUUUUUCACUUUUAGUUGCAACUCUGUCCAUCUACUGUGAAUAGUAGAUGCAGUAGUUCUGUUUUGAAACAUACAUCACCUUACAAUUGUAUUCCAAUUCCCUCAGCGGAAACCUGAAAUCCACUGCAGAUAAUUAUUUUUUCAAAAUCCCUUGCUUGUAAACAGAGUUCCCAUUAGACGUUUCUGAGCAUGUAGGACAUCUUGGAGGAAAACAUGUCUGAGGCUGAAGGAGGCCUGACAUCUUCCAGCAGCACAACAAGAAACACACAGACAGACAUAUUAUGGGAUGGUUUAGAUUGAUGCACAUUCAUGUGAUGGAAUGGUCUAAUCAAAGUCCUAACCUAAAUCUUUUUCAAAAUUGACGUUUAGACUAGAACUUGAGCUAUUUUGUAAUCACAUGGGCUAGCCCAGUGGCCUAUGUCAUUACAUAGGUAGAUUCUAAAAGCUUCUGGAGAUCAAAAUAUCUAUGGAAGGAAACCUUCAGCUUUCCUUGCAUAUAAAGCUGAGGGUCAGAGCCUCAUUCAGGGUCAGAGAAGAGCCCUUUCAUCCCCCGCGGUGCUGUCAGCACACAGAAGGCCAGGGGUAGGCAUAUUUUAUAUGGUAAAGAAAACACAAAGAGAUUAAGAGAAGGCAACACGGGACCUCUAAAUUUAGGGCUGUGGUUCAUUACUUGUUGCUAAAUGUUCAUGUGUGGAUUGUGGGUUAUGCCUUAAUUUUCUUGUACUGCUGCUGUCCACCAAAUGGACAAUGGUGAACUAAUCAGAGCAGAGUUUGUGAGGGAAAAACUGGAGACUGUAGCCUUGGUUCUCUUUACUUCUUACUCUAACUGGCAUCCCAUCUGAAAUCUGAGGAAGAAGUAAAGAGUUUCAGGAGAA